GGGAAUCCCGAAAAAAUGUCAGCCUCUACUGGAGAUAGGCACCAGCCCCCCAGUCUGACCAUCUCUGUUCUUCAUCUGUGUAUUUGUAUUUCUCCACCAGAGGGAACCACUGAAUUCCAUUUGUGGGGACAAGUGAUCGUUUCCUCAACCACUCAUUUUCCCAAGAUCCAACACUGCAUUUUUCCACUUAUGAACUUACAGGGUUAUUUAUGGAGCGGUCAGUGCUUUGGAUUAUGUGUCAGUUUUCCGCAAAGAUGAAGGCUAUUACUGAAAAGAGAAUGAAAGGCUACAUUUUAUUGAAUGACAUCAACGCUUCAAUCAGCCGCAAUCCUUGGGGGAAACAUCAGGAAGACAGGCAUUUUGGGCAAUCUGAAAACUGUUUAGCUUGAUUUGCUUCAACCUAGCCAUUUUUUACAUUGAUUUUUAUUGUUCUUUGUAACUGUUUUGAUGUGCAUGACUGCUGGCUUCAUGAGCUCUGCACUUAUUAGUUGGUGACAUUUUGUUUGUCUUGUUCAUUUAUCUUUUUAUAAACUGAACUUUUGAAACCAUUU
Long non-coding RNA from Girardinichthys multiradiatus, 551 nucleotides. RefSeq lists it as uncharacterized. The record is from RefSeq and is a predicted model, not a curated record. The transcript has 3 exons. Lineage: Eukaryota; Metazoa; Chordata; Actinopteri; Cyprinodontiformes; Goodeidae.